CGCGCUGGACCGUGUACAAGUCUCCUGGAAGGGAGCGUCAUAGAGGGUGAGAAUCCCGUCUCUGACACGGACGACCAGUGCUGUGUGAUGCGCUCUCGACGAGUCGAGUUGUUUGGGAAUGCAGCUCUAAUUGGGUGGUAAAUUCCAUCUAAAGCUAAAUACAGGCGAGAGACCGAUAGCGAACAAGUACCGUGAGGGAAAGAUGAAAAGAACUUUGGAAAGAGAGUUAAACAGUACGUGAAAUUGCUGAAAGGGAAACGCUUGAUGUCAGUCGCGUCUGCUGGGGAUCAACCUUGCGUUUGCUGGGUGUACUUCCUGGUCGACGGGUCAGCAUCAGUUUUCGUCGUCAUACAAGGGCGAACGGAACGUGGCACUCUUCGGGGUGUGUUAUAGCCUUUCGUCGUAUGUGACGGUGGGGACUGAGGAACUCAGCACGGGCGACCUGUGCUUAGGAUGCUGGCAUAAUGGCCUUAAGCGACCCGUCUUGAAACACGGACCAAGGAGUCUAACAUGCGUGCGAGUGUUUGGGUGGUAAACUCGAGCGCGAAAUGAAAGUGAAAGUUGAGACCUCUUCCGAGGGCAUCGACGCCCCGGACCUUGAGUCUUUUGACGACGGGCUCUGCCGGUAGAGCAUAGCAUGUUKGGGACCCCGAAAGAUGGGUGGAACUAUUGCCUUGAAUARGGGCGAAGCCCAGAAGGAAACU
Molecule: ribosomal RNA, 704 nt
Filed under: Chalciporus sp. G3177
Lineage: Eukaryota; Fungi; Basidiomycota; Agaricomycetes; Boletales; Boletaceae
Description: eukaryotic LSU rRNA
Rfam family: Eukaryotic large subunit ribosomal RNA
Source: RNAcentral